RNAcentral lists this ribosomal RNA (283 nucleotides) under uncultured Staphylococcus sp. RNAcentral's name for it is "partial 16S ribosomal RNA". It matches the Rfam family "Bacterial small subunit ribosomal RNA", at positions 355 to 630 of the family's 1533-position model. Lineage: Bacteria; Bacillati; Bacillota; Bacilli; Caryophanales; Staphylococcaceae. The record is from RNAcentral.
UAGGGAAUCUUCCGCAAUGGGCGAAAGCCUGACGGAGCAACGCCGCGUGAGUGAUGAAGGUCUUCGGAUCGUAAAACUCUGUUGUUAGGGAAGAACAAAUUUGUUAGUAACUGAACAAGUCUUGACGGUACCUAACCAGAAAGCCACGGCUAACUACGUGCCAGCAGCCGCGGUAAUACGUAGGUGGCAAGCGUUAUCCGGAAUUAUUGGGCGUAAAGCGCGCGUAGGCGGUUUCUUAAGUCUGAUGUGAAAGCCCACGGCUCAACCGUGGAGGGUCAUUGGA